UUCUGCCUGGAAUUGAACAUGACCUCGGAA
This 30-nucleotide non-coding RNA is filed under the name Rattus norvegicus (Norway rat). Lineage: Eukaryota; Metazoa; Chordata; Mammalia; Rodentia; Muridae. The record is from RNAcentral.